AUACGAACGGGGCUAGCGUUGUUCGGAUUUACUGGGCGUAAAGCGCACGUAGGCGGAUUGAUUAGUUAGGGGUGAAAUCCCGAGGCUCAACCUCGGAACUGCCUCUAAAACUGUCAAUCUCGAGACCGGAAGAGGUGAGUGGAACUCCUAGUGUAGAGGUGGAAUUCGUAGAUAUUAGGAAGAACACCAGUGGCGAAGGCGGCUCACUGGUCCGGUACUGACGCUGAGGUGCGAAAGCGUGGGGAGCGAACAGGAUUAGAAACCCUAGUAGUCC
Molecule: ribosomal RNA, 274 nt
Filed under: uncultured bacterium
Lineage: Bacteria
Description: partial 16S ribosomal RNA
Rfam family: Bacterial small subunit ribosomal RNA
Source: RNAcentral